AUUGAACGCUGGCGGCAUGCUUUACACAUGCAAGUCGAACGGCAGCGCGGGCUUCGGCCUGGCGGCGAGUGGCGAACGGGUGAGUAAUGCAUCGGAACGUGCCCAGUAGUGGGGGAUAGCCCGGCGAAAGCCGGAUUAAUACCGCAUACGACCUGAGGGUGAAAGCGGGGGACCGAAAGGCCUCGCGCUAUUGGAGCGGCCGAUGUCGGAUUAGCUAGUUGGUGGGGUAAAGGCUUACCAAGGCGACGAUCCGUAGCUGGUCUGAGAGGACGACCAGCCACACUGGGACUGAGACACGGCCCAGACUCCUACGGGAGGCAGCAGUGGGGAAUUUUGGACAAUGGGGGCAACCCUGAUCCAGCCAUGCCGCGUGCGGGAAGAAGGCCUUCGGGUUGUAAACCGCUUUUGUUCGGGAAGAAAUCCUCUGGGCUAAUACCCCGGGGCAAUGACGGUACCGGAAGAAUAAGCACCGGCUAACUACGUG
RNAcentral lists this ribosomal RNA (484 nucleotides) under uncultured bacterium. Its description in RNAcentral is "partial 16S ribosomal RNA". It matches the Rfam family "Bacterial small subunit ribosomal RNA", at positions 29 to 507 of the family's 1533-position model. The record is from RNAcentral.